UUUGUUUAGUUUUUGAAUAAUUAUAGGUUAAAUUUUAAUUAUUUUAUGUGUAUAAUUAUAAUUUUAAAUUUUGAAAAUCGAAUUAGAUUAGUACCUAAUUAGUCAAAAGUUAAAAGAGCAGAAGUAAAGUAAAAUUUAAACUGAAAGAAUAUUGGCAGAUUUUCUAAAUUAUCUUUGGAGGUUGAGUAAUAAUUGAGAACCCUCAUUAACUACUUUUUUAGUGGUCUCAUGUAUGAUCGUUUAUUAUAUGCUUAAGGUAUAUAAUUAAAAAUUAUUUAUUUAUAAAAAUAGAUAUAUAUUUGGUUUAUAUAAAAGUAAUAUUUGACCUACAAUAAUUUGUAAUUGUGGAUCUACUUUUUUGUGAAGUAGUGAAAAUGUAAAAGACAGUAAAAAAAUUUUUAUGGUUUUUUGAA
Molecule: ribosomal RNA, 413 nt
Filed under: Uncinaria sp. SAN-2011
Lineage: Eukaryota; Metazoa; Nematoda; Chromadorea; Rhabditida; Ancylostomatidae
Description: partial 12S ribosomal RNA
Source: RNAcentral